GGACUACUCGGGUAUCUAAUCCCGUUUGCUCCCCUGGCUUUCGUGCCUCAGCGUCAGGAAAUGUCCAGAGACUCGCCUUCGCCACUGGUGUUCCACUUGAUAUCUACGCAUUUCACUGCUACACCAAGUAUUCCAGUCUCCCCUCCAUUCCUCUAGCCGGAUAGUAUUCAACGCAGUUUCCGGGUUAGGCCCGGAGAUUUCACGUCAAACUUACCCAACCGCCUACGCACCCUUUACGCCCAGUGAAUCCGAACAACGCUUGGGACCUCUGUAUUACCGCGGCUGCUGGCAC
Molecule: ribosomal RNA, 292 nt
Filed under: uncultured bacterium
Lineage: Bacteria
Also listed under: 1 other name
Description: partial 16S ribosomal RNA
Source: RNAcentral